CUCCGAAAGUGCUGGGAUUACAGAUGGGAGCCACUGUGCCCAGCUCUUCCUUCAUUUUAAAAGGUAAAAUUGGUGAAGUAAGUUGCAACCCUUUGUGGGGCCCACUGGUUUUGGCAGGGCCAGGCUGGGAUGAAUGGCUCUGCAGGUCUGGCUGAGCUCCCUCAUGUGUGCUGAGGACAGCUGAUAUGGGCAAGUGCAGCUCCAGCCUUGGCUCUGGCCCACAUAUUUCUUACCCUUGUUUUAUAACCUGUGUUACAAGCCCAGUCUUUUCUGCCCAUGGUAACGGCAGAUGCACAAAAGAGCCAUUGGGGAGCAGUUAUCCAAUCUACAUUUUCAAAAGUUCACCCUGACUAUGAGAUGUCAGAAUCUCAUUUGAUUGCCUUUUCAUGAAGUCAUGAUCCUCAGGGAGCCUGUAGGUUUUCUGGAAGUAGGAUAUAGAAUAGGAGCUGAUAUAGUCACCCAUUUCUUCUAUUUAUGUGGCUCACUUCACCAGUCACUGUCAAGAAAAGUUGGGAUAUUUGAGCUGACAGAGAUGAGAUCACAAUAAACACCAACCCAGAGAUGGCUACACAUGUAUUCUGAAAUGACUACACUCUGUUGACCAGGUGAGGAGUGGCCCUCCACAGCACAUACUGUCCUAUGGGCAGAGCGACAACUUAGGUAUCCAAGAUGCUGAUGCAGCAAGGUCUAGUGCUGAGUAACUGCAGGAUUCCAGGGAGCUCUUCAUAGCUAUAGGCCUCAGUUUCUUCUUUAAAGAGGAGGAAAUAUGUGAAUAGAAUCUAUAUCCUGAAUCAGUGGGGUUCAAGCUGGUGUGAAUACUUCAUCUUUGAAAGGGCUGAGAUACUUUUUCUAGUACGUUUAAUUUUUUAAUUUUUUUAAAUUGAUUGUAGAGUUUUCCUGAAAGAAUAAAUCAACACUGAUAUCAAGAGAGCAAGGAAUGAUGGACCAAGUCUUUCCAAAACCUAUUACCUUGCCAAAAGGUGUCCAUUGAAAUCAUAAAAAUUGUAAAAAAAAGAAAACUGCUCUAUGACUACUGGGAAAGACAGAAAAGGGUAACUUUAUGCCAUUGACAUAUAAGAAAUGUAGAACUUCUGGAGUGCGUGAAACACAGGGAACCACACUGAAACCAAACUAAUCAGACUUGUAUAGCAGGAAGCUCCUCUUGGGUUGCCAUCAACAGGUCUCCUCAUGGCUAUCCUGGCUGUGUCAUGAUGGUCUCCAAAAGUCUGGCCCUGAAAGUUAAGCUACUGAGAUCCAGUCCGUAAUGUAUUACUGAGUACAUGGAGUCCGCCUUUAAAAAAUAUUUCAGAGAAGAAGUGUUUUUCCCUUCACUUCGGGAAUUCUACAUGAGGGAAUGUGUGGGAACAGAACUGGAUCACAGAGGCUCCAACAAGCUGCAUCCCCCUCUGCACACCCCACUAGGUCCUAAGACUCCUGAGGCACACAUCAGACUCCCAAAGUCAGGAAGUGGGGAUGUGAGCAGCACCAUACGGCAGUGACAGCACCUUCUGCAAGAAGAGAAACUCUAAACCGAUUACAACAGUAUCAUUUCUGUGUUGAACCAUAAGUCACUGGAAACCCACUGCAACCAUGCUUCCAUAAUAGUAGCUGGAAUCUCCAAUUCUAGAAAGAAAAGGAAACAAAUGAAAAGCUUGAAAAACAAUUAAAGAAACACACUAAAACUGUUUUCUACUGAGUAAGAGGAUAUAUUCCAGGGAUUUCAAAGCAGUUACAGGUAAGAUCAUUCAUUCUCCGAUAUCUUGUGUGUGUCCUACUCACUUAGGUGGUAUCCUACUCACUUAAAUGCUGAUCAAAGUCAGGUGACCCCGCAAGUGAGUGGAAGGAAAAAGUUGUUUUUAGACCUCAUGUGGUACUUGUGUGUACUUCAUGCUAACAGUAUAUUCUCAUUUCUUUACCUACGAAUUAUAUAAACAAAAUUUUAGAUCAACAUCAGAUUGAAUUUCUGUAUUUCUUUUAGUUAUGUAAUACUUGGGAAAUGUGUUAAAGUGAGGUAGAGUUUGUGAAAAAUAAUAAUGAAAGUAUA
Molecule: non-coding RNA, 2044 nt
Organism: Chlorocebus sabaeus (green monkey)
Lineage: Eukaryota; Metazoa; Chordata; Mammalia; Primates; Cercopithecidae
Source: RefSeq, a predicted model, not a curated record